Long non-coding RNA from Pecten maximus, 766 nucleotides. RefSeq lists it as uncharacterized. The transcript has 3 exons. The record is from RefSeq and is a predicted model, not a curated record. NCBI's taxonomy places the organism in Eukaryota, Metazoa, Mollusca, Bivalvia, Pectinida, Pectinidae.
AAAACCCAAGUAGAUAGUCGAUACUCACAAAGAACACACUUAAUUGACAUCAUCACACGGAGAUCAUUGGUCGUCUCAUAGCACUUCAGUUGGUGAAUAUUGGUGGAUAAAUAAUGGCAUCAUUACAACUACAGGUCAUAAAUAUUAAAGGAAAGAAAUAUUUCAAGACCUGUCAAUCAAGCGACAAACUGUCAUCGUUAUUCCAAAAAUUAUCCGAACAUGAGGGAUUAUCGGGACAAGAUAUCCUCUUGGUAUAUAAUGGAAAGCAAAUCAGCUGCCCUGACACAGGAACCGAUGAGAAAACUUUGGGUGACCUUAACUUCUUCGACAGGGCCACUUUGCAGAUAGUAGCACGUUUUCCAGGAGGAAGUGGGGUGGAAUUGACGCUAUUGAAAUAAACAAACAAAACAAAAACGAAGCGGUUUAUAAAAAGAACACUCGGGAAUUUUGAAUAGUUCCAUAAAAGAAGAUAUUUUCAAGUUAAUCCUUAUAAUUGAAUUUACUUUCCUCAAUAUGGAAAUCCACUUUUAUUGAUGAACUAUUUUCUCUGGGAAAUUAUUACGCCACUGUAUCAGCCAAUCAAAUGCAACGUUACAAACAGCGACGUCACUUUUUAUGGGCUGAUAACAUGAAUUUUCAGGUAAAUGAAACUGCUUACUUAUCUGUAUCGAUACAACUAAAUGUCGAAAGCAUCGAAGUGAUUGAUUAACUGUGAACGUUCUAUGAUAUUUUGAUAUUGAUUACAGCGGAAAUACAUAUGUAUCAG